Long non-coding RNA from Zophobas morio, 851 nucleotides. RefSeq lists it as uncharacterized. NCBI's taxonomy places the organism in Eukaryota, Metazoa, Arthropoda, Insecta, Coleoptera, Tenebrionidae. The record is from RefSeq and is a predicted model, not a curated record. The transcript has 6 exons.
UCCUUUGUGAAAAUAAAUGAAAGAGCUGCUAAGUUGCUAGAUGAAACAUUUGUUUUGUGAACAGCAAAGACAAAAGCAAACAGAAUGAAUAUUCUAGCAAUGAGUGAUGUUUUCUAUAGUCUGUUCCUUUUAUCCAAAGGAUACAUACUUAGUGCUAUUUGUAGCAUACGUCGCGGCUUUUGACUCAUUGCUUGGGUUGUGACUUGUGUUAUUGAGACCUACUUAAAAGAAGUGAACAAACUACUUCAGAGUUUGUUGGUCUUAAUAGAAGGGGUUGAAAAAAUUACCGUGAACAAACAAGAUGAGACAUUAGGACACAGCACAGGAGCAUCCUGAGGAGACCCAUAAAUUGUUUUUCCUAUCAACUUUUCCUUAUGAAAAAAGGCUCUAUUAAUUUUUGGUCUGGGUUUAAGCUGAACUGCGAUGGUGAAGUUGAGCUCUUAUAUGCCUAUGUUUUAGGGACCGAAUAACAAGCCAUAGGAGUGCGUUCUUAGUAUUUUUGUAAAACAAUUAAACCCUCAAAACUCUUCCACAGCCAAACCUAACUGGAAAGAGACCUAAAAAGCCCUUGUUAUAUGGCAUAGACUUUUAGUUUUACUCCACGCCUUUUUUGGACAAGAAGUCGCCGAUUUAUUUAUAAAGCACUCUCGGUUCGUGUUAUUGAUUUAACAUUGGACUCUUUUGGGAUGGACUAUCACUAUCUAUUAAAUGUUGAUAGCUUAUUGGGUGCUUUUAAUAUUAAAGAGUUUGAUAAGUUAAAAAGUGGGUAGCCCGGUAAAGAGUAAUAUAUUUUUAAUGUAGGCGCCCUGCUAGUUCUUCCUUGAUAGCGCCAUUCGUGACCCAUAUAAAUA